RNAcentral lists this ribosomal RNA (649 nucleotides) under uncultured cyanobacterium. Its description in RNAcentral is "bacterial SSU rRNA". It matches the Rfam family "Bacterial small subunit ribosomal RNA", at positions 773 to 1421 of the family's 1533-position model. Lineage: Bacteria; Bacillati; Cyanobacteriota. The record is from RNAcentral.
UGGGAUUUAGAUACCCCAGUAGUCCUAGCGGUAAACGAUGGAAACUAGGUGUGGCCUGUAUCGACCCGGGCCGUGCCGAAGCAUACGCGUUAAGUUUCCCGCCUGGGGAGUACGCACGCAAGUGUGAAACUCAAAGGAAUUGACGGGGGCCCGCACAAGCGGUGGAGUAUGUGGUUUAAUUCGAUGCAACGCGAAGAACCUUACCAGGACUUGACAUCUCUGGAAUCUCCUUGAAAGGGGAGAGUGCCGUAAGGAACCGGAAGACAGGUGCUGCAUGGCUGUCGUCAGCUCGUGUCGUGAGAUGUUGGGUUAAGUCCCGCAACGAGCGCAACCCUCGUCGUUAGUUGCCAUCAUUAAGUUGGGAACUCUAGCGAGACUGCCGGUGACAAACCGGAGGAAGGUGAGGAUGACGUCAAGUCAGCAUGGCCCUUACGUCCUGGGCGACACACGUACUACAAUGCGAGGGACACAGAGCAGCCAACCCGCGAGGGAGAGCGAAUCUCACAAACCCUGGCACAGUUCAGAUUGCAGGCUGCAACUCGCCUGCAUGAAGGAGGAAUCGCUAGUAAUCGCAGGUCAGCAUACUGCGGUGAAUCCGUUCCCGGGCCUUGUACACACCGCCCGUCACACCAUGGAAGUGAGCCACGCC